AGAGCUCAAAUUUUGAAUCUGGCGGUCCUUGCGGCCGUCCGAGUUGUAAUCUAGAGAAGCGUUUUCCGCGCUGGACCGUGUACAAGUCUCCUGGAAGGGAGCGUCGUAGAGGGUGAGAAUCCCGUCUUUGACACGGACUACCAGGGCUAUGUGAUGCGCUCUCGACGAGUCGAGUUGUUUGGGAAUGCAGCUCAAAUCGGGUGGUAAAUUCCAUCUAAAGCUAAAUACAGGCGAGAGACCGAUAGCGAACAAGUACCGUGAGGGAAAGAUGAAAAGAACUUUGGAAAGAGAGUUAAACAGUACGUGAAAUUGCUGAAAGGGAAACGCUUGAUGUCAGUCGCGUCGGCCGGGGAUCAACCUUGCUUGAUUGCUUGGUGUACUUCCUGGUCGACGGGUCAGCAUCAGUUUCGAUCGCCGUACAAGGGCGGAGGGAAUGUGGCACUCUUCGCGGAGUGUGUUAUAGCCUUUCGUCGUAUGCGGUGCUUGGGACUGAGGAACUCAGCACGACCUCUCGGGGUUCGGGGCUUCGGCCUACGUUCACGUGCUUAGGAUGCUGGCAUAAUGGCC
RNAcentral lists this ribosomal RNA (567 nucleotides) under Alpova diplophloeus. Its description in RNAcentral is "eukaryotic LSU rRNA". It matches the Rfam family "Eukaryotic large subunit ribosomal RNA", at positions 104 to 639 of the family's 3401-position model. Lineage: Eukaryota; Fungi; Basidiomycota; Agaricomycetes; Boletales; Melanogastraceae. The record is from RNAcentral.